Non-coding RNA from Acanthosepion pharaonis, 104 nucleotides. NCBI's taxonomy places the organism in Eukaryota, Metazoa, Mollusca, Cephalopoda, Sepiida, Sepiidae. The record is from the annotation of a GenBank genome assembly.
UCAUAUCACAUUGAAACACCAGUUCCCAUGUGAUCACCAAUUAAGCAAUGUUGAGUCUGGUCAGUACCUAGAUGGGUGACCACUUGAGAAUACCAGGUGCUAUA